Odocoileus virginianus texanus is the source of this 920-nucleotide non-coding RNA. The record is from RefSeq and is a predicted model, not a curated record. Lineage: Eukaryota; Metazoa; Chordata; Mammalia; Artiodactyla; Cervidae.
AACAAAAUAUCCACUGAGGUUAUCAAUGAUAAUAGAAUCCAGGUGAUUUAAAUACUAAUUUAGUGCUUCUAUAUUUUACAUAUUUUAAAACAAUAAGCAUAUAACACUUAAGGCAUCAAGGGAAGAUGUGGGGGUUUUUUCCAAGCCUUCAGAAAGAUGCCACCAGCAGCCUCCUUAUUUGGUUGAGGAUCUCUUUGUUUUUUGUGGAUGGUUCAAUGGUUUACAUAAAUUUUUUGUUUAAGUAGGACAGAGGAACCACAAAGAGGUUAUGGUUUCGCUUUUCACUCCCUGCAUACAAUUCAAACAACAUGAAAAUCAAGAUUAUGACCUUUCAAAGAUGAGGGACUUCAUCAACCAACAAGCUGAUGCUUAUGUGGAGAAAGGCAUCCUUGAUAAAGAAGAAGCCGAUGCUAUUAAGCGUAUUUACAGUAGCCUGUAAAAAUGGCAAACGACCCAGGAGUCUUUUAUCUGUUUCAGAAAAUGUAGUGUAGCUUAAAACACUUCUAAUUCUGUGAUUAAAGUUAUUUUGACCCAACGAUUAUUAGAAAGUCCUGAAUUUACAGUAGUUACUCCUAAAAGUGGUUAAAACAAUAGCUUUCUUGCCAUAAAUACUAUCUGAAAAGUAAAGUUGUAUGUAAGCUGAGAGUUUGUAUAUAGAAUUCUUAUUUCCUUAUAGAUUUACAUUUUAUAACCAGAUAUAUGUUGCUUUGGAAAAGCCUAUAAUGGAGUGAACUUAAAGCUGAACCCUCAUUUCACUGUGUCACACAUACAAGUACCCUCCUUGAAGAAUUAGGGGGCUCUGUUUUCAAGGCAUGCUGGGUACCAAAGCACCUCAUAGACUAUCUGUUACAAGAUGUCACUUCUGUACCUCUUCCCUUUUGGGAGCUGAAAUAAAUUCACAUUUCCUCGAAGCCUCUAGA